This 250-nucleotide unclassified non-coding RNA is filed under the name plant metagenome. Its description in RNAcentral is "partial contains small subunit ribosomal RNA, internal transcribed spacer 1, and 5.8S ribosomal RNA". The record is from RNAcentral.
GUUGGUGAACCAGCGGAGGGAUCAUUACCGAGUUUACAACUCCCAAACCCCUGUGAACAUACCUAUUGUUGCCUCGGCGGUGCCUGUUCCGACAGCCCGCCAGAGGACCCCAAACCCUGAUUACAUUAAAGAAUUCUUCUGAGUAACCGAUUAAAUAAAUCAAAACUUUCAACAACGGAUCUCUUGGUUCUGGCAUCGAUGAAGAACGCAGCAUCUGACUGACUCCACACCUUCUGAUCUCGUAUGCCGU